AACUAUCUUCGAAUCUGAAAACAUGAAGUUUAAAAACGUUAGUAUAAACUCAGUGAGUGAACAUAAGAAGGGAACAAGAAAUCGAUAGGAAGAAUUUGGAAAUCAUGAUGCACUUGUUUCGAAAACAAUGCAAUUGAUUUAAUUUCUUACUAAAAACCCCUCAUUUCAAACUUUGAUUAAUAACCCCAUAGUGUUGCAAAAACCCAUGACCAAUCCAUGAAGUUAAAAGGGUGAAAAAUAUGUCAAAAUCAAGUAAGGUAGCAAGCAAGACAGCAAGUUUCUCGCUACAGUGAGAAAUAAUCUUAGUUUGCAUAUGUUUCAGUUUUUCUAAUGUAUCUCCCACUACAGCAGUUCAAUUGACCUGAUUUUUGGAUCAUUAGAAAGCUAAGAGGCUGGGAUACAACUUUUAUGUUUACCAUUUUGCCCAGUUCUGACUGAAAGGUGGUCAAAAUCAUUGUCAAAGUGGAAAUACUACACCAAAAUUUUAGGUAUACCCGAGGGUUUUUCGCUUCAGCGAGAAUCCAAUUUCACAGUAGCGAAAUUCCUUGUUGCAGCGAGAAACAGGGCUGGUUUGUGCCCGCACCACCCGUGAGUUUCUCACUGCAACGAGAAUGCAUUCUCACUGUAGCGAGAUUAAGGGCAGAUGACAAUUACAAGGUUUUCACAUGCCACAAAAUCCAUCCUUACCAUAUUGCACAUCAAAGUGAACACAUUGACAAUAAUCAAGUUAUCAACAUUCAAAACAAUCACAUAUUAUAAUCAUAAACUUGCUAUCACAUAUACAUAUAUAAACAUAUAUCAACAAGUACACCACCCCACUUCAUUCAUCGUCAUAGCUAGGUCAUCAUCAUCGGCAUAUGCCCACUCCCUACUGGCACAUAGCCGGAUCAUCAUCGGCUUAUGCGCACUCCCUACUUGCACAUAGCGGGGUCAUCAUCACCUCAUGUGCACUCCCACACACACAUAGGUGGGUCAUCAUUAUCACAUAAAAAGGAACAUCCAAUGCAUAUUAUACAUAUCAACAUAUUGUGAUAACACAUGAACCAUUUACAUGGCACAUUUUCACAAGAUAGAAACAUUCACCAAAGGCUUGUUCCCUAGGUAGAUUUUUUAGGAAAAGUUGGAUAAAAUCAUUCAAAUGUUUUGUGCAAAUACAUUCACAUUCCCAAAAUAAUUUUGAAAUGCAAGUUCACUCACCGGUCUUGUUGAUUCUUUUGCUUGACUCUAGCCUCAACUAAUGCUCCAAAUGGACAUGUGAGGCCUUGUUGGAACCUAUACACACACAAUAUCACCAUAAACCCAAAUUGGCAUUAAUAUAAUUCCAAAAAGCUCUUUCCUAAAUCAAGUUCUACUAGUUAUUCCUAACUAGUUUCCAAUUGCCAUUAAGUGGCUAUUUGUUUACUCUACUCUAGUCACUCUAAAAAUGAUUAACAAUCUAAACAAUAGAUUAACCCACCACUCUAACCAUCAACCAUUAUCAACAACUUAAAAAUUAAACGUAAUUCAUUACUCACCUUGGUGGCUUUUGUAGUUGAAUUCCUUUUCAAAAGCUUCCAAGCUAUUUUGGACAAUCUCCCUCUCUCUCUCUCCACCCAUCUAGCUAGUGAGAAAAGAUACCAAGGAAAGACCUUUAAGGGCUUUUGAUGUGUAGAAGAGAAAGAGUAUGAAAAACCCUAUGAAAAGGUGUAGAAAAACA
RNAcentral lists this long non-coding RNA (1696 nucleotides) under Theobroma cacao (cacao). Its description in RNAcentral is "long non-coding RNA (TCAC_LNC001664)". Lineage: Eukaryota; Viridiplantae; Streptophyta; Magnoliopsida; Malvales; Malvaceae. The record is from RNAcentral.